CCAUGAUCAGAGUGACACAUGGG
This 23-nucleotide non-coding RNA is filed under the name Arabidopsis thaliana (thale cress). Lineage: Eukaryota; Viridiplantae; Streptophyta; Magnoliopsida; Brassicales; Brassicaceae. The record is from RNAcentral.